UACGGGAGGCAGCAGUGGGGAAUAUUGCACAAUGGGCGCAAGCCUGAUGCAGCCAUGCCGCGUGUAUGAAGAAGGCCUUCGGGUUGUAAAGUACUUUCAGUCGUGAGGAAGGUGUUAAGGUUAAUAACCUUAGCAAUUGACGUUAGCGACAGAAGAAGCACCGGCUAACUCCGUGCCAGCAGCCGCGGUAAUACGGAGGGUGCGAGCGUUAAUCGGAAUUACUGGGCGUAAAGGGCACGCAGGCGGUUAAUUAAGUUGGAUGUGAAAUCCCCGGGCUUAACCUGGGAAUGGCAUUCAAGACUGGUUAGCUAGAGUCUUGUAGAGGGGGUAGAAUUCCAUGUGUAGCGGUGAAAUGCGUAGAGAUGUGGAGGAAUACCGGUGGCGAAGGCGGCCCCUGGACAAAGACUGACGCUCAUGUGCGAAAGCGUGGGGAGCAACAGGAUUAGAUAC
RNAcentral lists this ribosomal RNA (450 nucleotides) under uncultured bacterium. RNAcentral's name for it is "bacterial SSU rRNA". It matches the Rfam family "Bacterial small subunit ribosomal RNA", at positions 340 to 785 of the family's 1533-position model. The record is from RNAcentral.